This 203-nucleotide long non-coding RNA is filed under the name Linum usitatissimum (flax). Its description in RNAcentral is "long non-coding RNA (LUSI_LNC006824)". Lineage: Eukaryota; Viridiplantae; Streptophyta; Magnoliopsida; Malpighiales; Linaceae. The record is from RNAcentral.
AUUAAACCAAAAGGAAGGUUAAACACCAAUAUAAACCAAAUAAAAUGACCAUGACCUUAAACAUUAACAAGUUCAAAUGUAGUUGAAUUAAAAACUAACACAACAACACAACCAACACAACCACAGUCAAAAGAAAAACGUUGAAAGGAAAUAAAAUAAAAAAACAAGAAAAAACAAACUUUGUCUUCCCCUCCUUGGAUCCC